CGGCAUUGGGCGAUCGAUGAAAGCAAAGGGAGGAGAAGAAGAGAGCAUCGUUGCCACCGUCAAUCCGCCCUGUGUGUGAUCCCCCAAGCUCGAUGGGUGGUACUUGGGCGCCCCAGGUUUCCGCCGCACAUGUUGGUGGCUUCGCCAGGUGAGAACCAUGACCGGGGAACCGACAAUUGCUCAUCGGAGCAAUCCGCCUCUGUGGCGUCGCUCGCAACCGUGGGCAGGAGCAUCGGCGCUGACAACAGAGGUGAGAAACCAUCUUUGUAGUUCGCGUUGCCCUCCUUCUCGUGUAGCACCAGUUCGUUUCGAAUUUCGAGCACUAGGAGCCGCUCAGGAUUGUUGCCGGCCAUGGCGGCGCCCCGUCAGGCCAGCCCACCGCCAUGUCUGAGCGUGGUCAUGGGGUGGGAGUGCUAGAGCCGUUGGUCCAUAAACGAUUGGACGAUAUUAAGGGGGUGUUUGGUUUCAAGGGACUAAUGUUUAGUCCCUUCAUUUUAUUCUAUUUUAGUAUAUAAAUUGUCAAAUAUAGAAAUUAAAAUAGAGUUUUAGUUUCCAUAUUUAGCAAUUUUGGAACUAAAAUGGAAUAAAAUGUAGGGACUAAAAAUUAGUCCCUAGAAACCAAACACCCCCUAAAUCGAUUGGGUACGGCUCGGGCAUUGGAUUGAGACCGUUAUAUCGCGAUCGAAGGUAUUAAAUUGGUUUUGGGCUUCAUAAAAUCGCGGUUUUAGGGGGUGUUUGGUUUCUAGGGACUAAUUUUUAGUUCCUCUAUUUUAUUCCAUUUUAGUCCUUAAAAUUACUAAAUAUAGAAACUAAAACUCUAUUUUAGUUUCCCUAUUUAACAAUUUAUGAACUAAAAUAAAAUAAAGUGGAGGGACUAAAGUUUAGUCCCUAUAAACCAAACACCUCUUUAGACCAUUGACCCAACCACCAAAAUUGUGUACCGAUUUCACAUAGAUUUGAUCUCAUUUGGGCCGUCCAGUGGGAGAUUAGGUGGAUAGGAUGGCCCAAUACCCUUUCAACUGAUCAAGUAUUCAAAAGAGACCCUAAAGAAUUUAGAAAUUAAACCCAUCGUCCCCCUCCUAUGAGAAACUCUUACAAUAGGGUCCCUGGUUUUUAUAUAACCAUCCCUUGAGGUUAUUUUUAGCAUAAAAAUUAAUAAUAAAUCACCCCAAAACUUAUUUGGUUCAUAACUUCUUCGUUUUAGAUCUGAUUCAGUCGAUUCCAGUUACAUUAGCUUCGUAAUAAUAAUGUCUACAUUUUCGUAACAUUUUUUUGUUAGGUAACAUGUUCUCAAAACUAGAUAUUUGUUUAACCUAUGCUAGUAGAUUAACAUGUCUAAUCAAAGUUAAUCUAUUAUAAGAUGCCUAAAUUAUGAUUGCUAAUCAAGUUAUCACUUAGAUUAUAACUGAACUAGUUAUCUCUUCGUAAUAUUUUUAUCACAUGAGUUAUAUUAAUUAACAUAUAUUUUUACUAUUUUAUCACCUAAAACUUUAGAAAACCAUAUUUUUUUAACAAUAACUUUGAUUUUAGUAGUUCUCGAACCUACGAUCUCAUAGCGACGCGUAGAAUAUUCCUACGCAGUUUGUUCUCAUGUUUGGUGUAAUGUUAUUUUUAUGUACUCCUUGUCUACUUGUAUGUAUUGCUACGAGUAGCAGCGAGUGACGAGAAACCCGAAGACCAACAUGGUGAAACACCUAAAUAUUGCAAGUAUAAGGCAAGUUGUGCGCUUGAUCACUCUUCUUUACCUAAUAAUGUUCCUGUUAAUCACUGUGACACGCUCAGGUUAUUUUGAUGGGACCUAAUAGGUUGCCCUAGUUCUGGUUACCCCACACCAUGCAAACAAAUGAAUUAUUGGGUAGUUUGGCUAUUUCUCUACCUGGUUUUGGGAUUAAUGGUAUAUCUGAAUUAUGAUCAUGUACCAUUAAUACUGUUGGUUUCAUUAUUGUGCAUGAUAAGAUUAUUUUGUAGGUAUCUAUAUGCUUGAAUGCUUGUUCUUAUGAUACUUGUUUGAUUUGGUUCUUUGAUCGCAUGUGAUGGAUCGUGGAGUAAUGUCCAUAAUGGCACCUAAGUAUAUAAAUACAUAAAAAUAUGAUUAAAAGAAAACAAAUCCAUCUAAAUAGACCCAUCUCAUCUUAAAAGAUUCUAUCUCAUCUUAUCCUAACCACUUUGCUUAUCCCAUCCUUGAUUGAUAACAAUGAUCUAAUCAAAUUAAUUAUAUUUUAUCUAAUCUAAUUUUAGUCAUACCAACACAAUUAAAUAAGAUCUAACACUUUUCUUGUCUCAUCCUAGAGUAACAACAAUGACCUAAUCCAAAUUAAGUAGAUCUUAUCUAGUCUAAACUAGUCAUACUAAUCUAAUCUAGAUACCAUCUAAUCUAAAUAUAAUCUAAUGUGAGUUACCUAACAUAUUAGUUAAUACUGGUGGAAUAGAUUAGAACCCUACUCCUAUAACACAUGUUUAACCUAAAUUGGUUCCUUAGACCAAGUCGGCCAUGCACAACAACCUAAUCUACAUGUUGGGUUGCGUAACCUACCUAGCCCAACCUAGAAGCAAAACAACUACACCCCACUCUACCUAAUCUCAUUUAUCUUAAGCCACCUACUAAGCCAUGUGCUCUACCAACUACGCUAUUUGGUUACCUACAAAUCUGCCUUAACUACAUGUCCAUAACUCGGAUGGUAACACCAAAGUCUGGAGAAGGAAACACCAAAAACGAAGGUCUCCAACCUCGAUGAAGACACCAAGACUCUAGAAGAAAUAAAUCAUCCUUGUCAACAAAGGAUAAGAGUCAGACCAGAUCUUCAGAUACAUCAGGAUUCACCAUCCAGAAUGGAGUCAUUCUUUGCCUAAAAUCCUUUUUUACAACCACCUUCCUUUACUCAAACCAUCUCUCAUCAUGCCUAAUAGGUGGUUGGGCUUAAGAAAAAAAUAUAAUACUCAUGUUUCCCUAAUCACCUCCUAAUCAAUAUAAUACUCUUCAUUUUUUGACCAAUUAGAAACUAAAAGCUAAAUUACAAACCAAUAUUUUUAUAGUUUUUACUAAUCUCGAGGAUGAGAUUACUUUUAAGGGGUAGAAUUUGUAACACCCAAAAUCAUAGUAUAGUAAUUUAGAUAAUUCUUCAAAAGAUUUGAGAUAAAAUGUCUUCUAAUAAUAAUUCCCUUCCUUUAUAAUGUAUAUCUCUCUAAAGUAAAUAAAUAAUAAUGGUAAAAGUUUGGUAGUUCAAAAUUUAGAUCAAACUCUUGAAACAAAAAUUUACUUCGAAACCGAGACAAUUAACAAAAAGAAAAACUUUUAAAUCUAUUUAUUAUCCAUUUGGUAAACUAUAUAUAACAACAAGACACAUCCAUGGCUGGAAAGCCGAGAAACCAACAGGACUAAAGUUCACAGACCAGCCUGACCGAAGCUCUUAGAUCAGCCUAUCCAAAAACGAAACUACAAAGACCAAAAUAACUGAAUGCGUCUGUCAACUGGUUUCCAACCAUGAGCGCCUUUGAAGACUUCACUUGUUGUCUUUCGGAUUCUGAGGUUUCUUUGCUCCACCAAUUUUCUUUCCUUCUCUUUCUGCCGAAUCGCCCAAGCAUCAAGCCAGAAACAGCACAAGUAAAUCACAUUAGUAGGGUCAGAAAUCAACUUAUCACUAAAACAACAAUCAUUUCUAGAACGCCAAAUUGCCCAGAUGACUGCUCCACAACUGAAAAGAACCAAGUUCCUUUCUUUUCUAUCAAAACAGUUAAUCCAAGGGCCGAAGAUAUUUUCAACAGUUUGUGGGGAAGAAUUCAAAUCCAAAGCCAUUUGGAUAAUCCUCCAAACAUAUGGUGCAACAGAGCAUUGAAAGAAGAGAUGGUUUAUGGACUCAGGUAAUCCACAGAAAACACAAUCCAAGGGGCCAUGCCAAUUUCUUUUUCUCAGGUUAUCUUUUGUCAGAAUUUUAUUGUGGGGGACAAGCCACAAGAAAGCUUUAAUUUUGUGAGGUAACAUGGUUUUCCAUAAGAAUUUGAAAGGAACUGGUAUAUAGUCUCCGAGCCGCUUUGAAUACAAACUCUUUGACACAAGUUUCACAAUCUAUACUAGUAUACAAUUUGAGUAACCGUAGGUUAAAGAUUGUAUAAGUUGACUUUUAUCUUAUUUAAAAUAUUGUAACCAUUCGUAGAUGAAGGAACUACCUAACUUGCAGUAUAUUUACUACAACAAAUAUAUACAUUUUAGGGGUAAAACUAUAAAUGAGAUUUCUCUUUGGAGUUGGCUCUAUUAAAUUUCAAUUGUUUACCCUACUUAAAUGUGUAGUUUUGUAAAAGAAUAUGACGUCAUAGUAAUCUGUGUAUUUUAAAUAUGCUGGACCAGCUUGACACGUGGUCAGGUGAGCCCAAUCACUCAUAGACAAGUGGAAAUCAAAUGCAAAACAUGACACUAGAUAGUGAAUUGUAGCGUCUUGUUAUGUGUGUCUCGUCUCGCUACAGGAUAAUAAUAUUUAUAGGGGUGUCCAGAAUAGGUGACAUAAAGUACAGUCCUAACCUCGACUACCAAUUAUAUCUAUGGAAUAUUCCAUAUAAUGGAGUAAUUACAACACCACGCGCCUUAUUGUGCAUUGUACACCAAUUAAUACACCCGCAAAUUACAUUGACAGGUGGGCCUACAGAAGAGUCUCCCGGUGUACCGACGAAGUGCAGGUCGUGUCGCGUAGCCUUGGUCGCCACCUCGAGAGCCUUCGUGUCUUGGUGCCCU
This 4723-nucleotide long non-coding RNA is filed under the name Zea mays. RNAcentral's name for it is "long non-coding RNA (ZMAY_LNC002742)". The record is from RNAcentral. Lineage: Eukaryota; Viridiplantae; Streptophyta; Magnoliopsida; Poales; Poaceae.